AUUUGAAUAAGGAGGGGAUUUUA
Molecule: microRNA, 23 nt
Filed under: Zea mays
Lineage: Eukaryota; Viridiplantae; Streptophyta; Magnoliopsida; Poales; Poaceae
Description: microRNA miR-3077
Source: RNAcentral